AAAAAAAAUUUAAUGACUAAAAAAAACCGAAAGUGAGGAUGGGCAAAACCGUACUUUAAAAAUAUCACCACCAGCGCGAUCAAAUGUCAACGAUCCGACCCGUUCUCAACGGUUGUGAUUGGCCCUUCCAAAAUCGCAUAGCUUCCUCGACCGGUUCGCGCAAAAUGACGCCGCCGCAGACAGAUGGGGCUUCACGGGAACCCUCACCUCGNGAACCCUCGCCUCCCCGGAGAAUCCCAUAUCGGGUGGCAAUCCGCCUUUCUGGUUCCAGUGCCGGUUAGGGCUGGCCCUCAGCAGAGGGCUCAAACAAAACGCUAAUCCCGAUACGUUUGUGCCGUUUCCCGGCUUCCCUCUCCUCAUCGCUGCUGGUGCUACUGGUGUCCUCUUCCACCACUGUGCCUGUGAUGACUCCGAAGAGGACCCACUGCCAGACGGAGACCGAUUGCAAUCCUCACAAUCAUCGUCGGAAUCCGCCCCUCUCGCUGGCGACAUUCCUCGAUCCAUCCUCCGACGUGGUUUAUGACCUACAACGCCCGAAUAUUGCUCAGAGAAGAGCGCAGAUUGCUUUUUCCUGCGACCAGAAAAUAUUGCAGACAACCAGGAAGGCGAAGAAGAUGAUGCCUCGCACGAAGUCCUAGAAGGAACUCCACGACCAGAAACAGAAGGAUCCGGAUUAAAUUUCUCGGAUCUGGACCUGAACAUAUUAGACAAACGGGAGAAUCUGGCGGGCUUAGCUUUACAAGUUGCAGAAGUGGCGAAGCCGGAUGCUGUGGAGGCAGAGUUGUAAGUGGGGCCCAUCUGGGGAGUGCUGUAG
RNAcentral lists this unclassified non-coding RNA (814 nucleotides) under Hevea brasiliensis (rubber tree). Lineage: Eukaryota; Viridiplantae; Streptophyta; Magnoliopsida; Malpighiales; Euphorbiaceae. The record is from RNAcentral.